GUUGCCCAGGCUGGCUUUGAACUUGUGAUCCUCCUGCCUCAGUCUCUUAAGUCUCUGAGAUUAUAGGCAUGCACCACCACACCCAGCUUUUUAGAGUCAUCUUUAACUUGUUCAAGUAUUUUCACAUGCUUUACAUUUUCUAAAUUCUAUAAAUGAUUAUUAGAUUGUUUCAUUCAAUAUACAUGAAAGAAUAUAAACCAAGUUUCUGAAUCAAGUGAAACUCUUUGAAGCUCAGAGUCCUCAAGUAGCAACUCAUUAAUGAAGCUGAGUUAACUACUCACACAUCUUUCCCUUUAGAGAAAAAAUUCUAGAGAUUCAUUAAACCAGGCAAAACUAGAAAAAUGACAUUGAACUUUUGAGAUUUAUAAGGAAUGAAAUCAAAUGAAAGUCAUCUUCUUAAAUUCUAAGUGAUGAUAAUUUGGAUAUGGCUUAUUUAAAGAGAGUAGAGACAACAUUACAAAUGAAAGAUAAUUUUAUUUUGUUGUAGAUUGAGAGUUUUCCAAAAACUUUUUAUAGCUAGAGAAAAUAAGAGUCCCUUAAACUUUUUUAAAAAAUUAGUACACUUGAUAAGCUCCAGUCUAAACUAUGUUAGAAUUUCUCUUAGGCAUAUUUCACAAUUCUGCUGCAAUAGAUUCUGAAACUUUUAUCACUUCCUUCCUAGCCUAGCCUCACCCUUUACCACAUUUUAAAUACAGAGCACAGAGAUAACCAACUCAACCCUACAUCUCAUAAUAGAACUGGAACUAAAGUACAAAGCUCCACUUCUUUAAAAAAAAAAAAAUGGGUUUGACGAUACAGCUUAGAGGUAUAGCACUUGCCUAGGGUGUACAAGGUCCUGGGUUCAAUGUCUAGCACUACAAGAAAAAGAAAGAAAAAAAAAGAGAAAAUCCUGAAUCAACUGUCUAAAUGUCAAUUUCUGAUGAAACAGGAUAGUGGGUAUUCAGGCAACUGAUACUUUUUGCUAUUCCUUCCUCUAACUGUGAACUAUAGCUUUAAAAUAAAUUUUUUUUAAAAAAAAUCCAUAUGGUCCAAAGUUAAUGGACAACUUAAUAACUGAAUGAGUUACUUUUACUGACUCUUAAUUAUUCAAGUUCUCUGCUUGGUCCAUGAGUGCUUAGAGGUCAGUUAUUUUUUUCAGUUUUCAGAGGAAGAAGCACGUGAAAAUAGUUCAGAGAAACCAAGAGAUUCUAGAGUAAGGGCAAUAAGCUGACGUCAGAAUUCCUGGGAGGGGAAGCAACCUAGUACUUCACGGCAUAAAAGGCAUUCACAGCCACAGCCCUGGUUAGACCCAGGAUCGCAGCCAAGUCAAUGCACUCAGACUGGCAAGAUUCUCAGGGAAACCUGGAAGACUGGAGCUUGAAAGGAUAUACAGAGCAAGAGCCCAAGUCACCAUUGCCCAAAUGGAGGAGUUGUUCCUGGAGAGGGUGCAAGAUUUGGGCCAUGAGGUGGCUGAGCAAGAACUGCAGCCCUGGCCCUGCUCGCAGCCUACCUGGGGGUGGGGUACAAAUGCCUGGAGCUUUCCUUGUUAUCUAUAAAAUACUAGCAAUGAAAGAAAGUCAGAGUAAGGAUACUCACCCUCUCAUUAACUUUCCUUCCUGGCAGCACACACCAUCUUUCCAAAUCUUGCUCCUGGGCCUGGAAACAGAAUUCCUCCUUAGAGGUUUCACACAAAGGAGCCAGAGGGCGGUGGUAGAGAAGGUUUAAAUGAGUUCAAGGUAUGAACAGGUGGGGAAAAGGGUUACACAGGAGGAGAGGGACAUAUGAGGUAAGUCAAAGAGAAGCCAAGGUCAGCCAUGGUCCUAUGACUACAAAGGCCCCUGGCCAAAUUGAGCAAUGCAUUUUCUUCUCUCUGCAGGGGAGAAAAGCCAGAAGAGACAGGUUCUGGGAGCUGCCUCUGAAAAUCCCAGCCUGCUUGGGGUAACAUUGCUGAGUAGAGCUAGUGGAGGGAUGAGACCCAGAGACACCGUGGGGUCCCCUAUUUGAAAACUACCUUUCCCAAGGAGGGUCAAAACUGCAGCUGGGAGCCCAAAGCUGGGCCAAACCUCAGAAAACCACAGUCCCUUUGGGACUUCGUGUCAACCUUUGGUCUGAACCUGCCCAAGACCAAGAUAUCUUAUGCUUCCUGCCAGCCUAAUCCUCCUGAAUAUGCUUUCAUCUCACCCCUCCCUGGACCAGAUCACUCCCCUGGCUCCGCAUUGCCUCCUUCUUCAAGUCUAAACUUCGCUUCCCUGUUCUUUACAUGCACAUUCCACCCCCACCCCGCCUCACUCCCCAUCCUCCAUCCCACACGUCCUGCUUUAGACACUACUAUCACCUCACUCUCCCCUGCAAUGUCCAUGAUCAUUCCUAACUCUGUUGUCUUUUCUCCUCUUCUUCUAUUCAGAAAACCAUGCUUCUUCCUCUGUCAAAAAACUAAUCUGCCUCUCCAUCAAGGUGUGGCUCACUUCUUCCAGGAAUCCUUCUUCUUUAUCAGUCCAUCUGGAUCGCUUCCAUCUAGAAAUGUCAUUCUAACAAUCCAAGAGCUGUACCAACACCAAUACUAACACUACUGCUAAGGCUAGUGCUAACACAGAUGGUAAAGCUUACUGGGUGCUCACCACAUGCUGGACUAAAUUCUUGGUCAUUUUGUGUGCUGACUCAUUUACUCCUCCCCAGAUCCUACAAGGUAGGUACUCUGAUUCAUUUUACAUAUUGGAAAAUAAUAAAGGGUAUAUAACAUGGCCUUAGUAAGUGCUCUCACAUUUGGUGGGUAUUUAAUAUACAAGUGGCCCUGGGUGUUAUCCAAUGAGAGGAGAAAGCUUCUCCCUUUUUCAGUGGUAGAGCCAUUGGUAACCCUUGGCAGCUUUAUUUAUGAAAAUAAAUCAUUCCUAAACUGAUUCAGGGUUUAGGACAAGCAGUAUUCAGGCUGAAUGGGAAGCAGGGAGCACAGGGAGAGUUGCAUUUAUCACAAUUAAUAUCUUGUGCCUUGUCAAAUAUCUGACAUACUGUGCCUGUGUAUUACCUCUUGUCUAAGGCAUGUGUAAACGUUCAGUUAAUAUUUAAUGGCCUCCACUGGAGAAGAACUCAUGGCUCAUGAUGAAGAUUGAUGUUGGACUUUUUAUUAUGAACAAUUUCAGACACACACACAAAAGUAGAAGAAUUUAAUAAGCUCCGUUGUACCUGUCACCCAGAUCCAACAAUAAUCAACUCUCAGGCUUGUUUCAUCUAUAUCCCACUUACCAGCCCCCAACCCCAAAUUAUUCUGAAGCAAAUCCAAGACACUGUGUCAUUUCAUGUUGAGAAUAUUUCAAAGAAAAAGGAAACGGAGAGGGAAAUAUACAUUGUACAUAAAUUUUACUUUUCCUUAAACAACAGAUGGAGCCUAGGAAAGAACAAGACACCCAGUCCCCAGGAAGGAGAGAAAAUAACACUCUCCCAUUUUAAUUGCUUUGCUACUGUAUAUUUACUCCAUAGAUUCUUGAUCAUAGUUCUGUAAAUUUAUAGCUUUAAUGUUCUCACUGGGGGUUGUCUCACCAGCUCCAAUUACAUUGGAAACACCUGGCAAGCAAGAUCCACAUUUUCCUCUUACUGAAUUUAACGUCAUGUGUUCUGCUGUUCCAUAGGACAUCUGGCUUGCCCUCCUCCCUCCCUUCCUUCUUAAUGUCUGCCUUCCUUUCUAACCAGUCUCCAGGCUUCAUAAUAAUGUCCUAACUUCCUUUUGUUACUCCCAUAAACAUUCACUAGAUACAGCUCCUGGUAUACAGUAGACAAAAUUGGAACGUGUAGCACACGUGGCAGGAAGGCAUCUCCCACAAGGUGAUGGUGCAGCUGAGUCUUACAGCGUUACCUGUACCUGCAGUGCACCUGUGGAAAUAUAUCUGAAAAUGUUCAUUUUUUAGCACCAGGGCUGUUUGAUCAUAUAGCCGAUUUAUGAACAAAAUCUGUAGAACUCAAAAGGAAAUGCAGAUCUGCCGAUUGGCUGCGGAAUUGGGGUUGUGCAGCAGGUAGUGACUGGUCAUUUGCCAUGUUCCAGGCAUGCUUCUAGACAUCAAGGACAAAGCAAUGAACAGACAACUGUACCUGCAGUGCACCUGUGGAAAUAUAUCUGGAAAUGUUCAUUUUUUAGCACCGGGCUGUUUGAUCAUGUAGCUGAUUUAUGGUAGUUACUUCUCAUUGGUAGUUACAAUUUGUUAUUUAUUACAAUGUUUGAUGGAUGGAUGAGUGGGAUAAUAAAUAAUGAGAAACAAAUGUCA
Molecule: long non-coding RNA, 4232 nt
Organism: Marmota monax (woodchuck)
Lineage: Eukaryota; Metazoa; Chordata; Mammalia; Rodentia; Sciuridae
Exons: 4
Source: RefSeq, a predicted model, not a curated record